AACAGGAUUAGAUACCCUGGUAGUCCAUGCCGUAAACGAUGAGUGCUAGGUGUUGGAGGUUUUCCGCCCUUCAGUGCCGGAGCUAACGCAUUAAGCACUCCGCCUGGGGAGUACGACCGCAAGGUUGAAACUCAAAGGAAUUGACGGGGGCCCGCACAAGCGGUGGAGCAUGUGGUUUAAUUCGAAGCUACGCGAAGAACCUUACCAGGUCUUGACAUCUUGCGCUAACCUAAGAGAUUAGGCGUUCCCUUCGGGGACGCAAUGACAGGUGGUGCAUGGUCGUCGUCAGCUCGUGUCGUGAGAUGUUGGGUUAAGUCCCGCAACGAGCGCAACCCUUGUUACUAGUUGCCAGCAUUCAGUUGGGCACUCUAGUGAGACUGCCGGUGACAAACCGGAGGAAGGUGGGGACGACGUCAGAUCAUCAUGCCCCUUAUGACCUGGGCUACACACGUGCUACAAUGGUCGGUACAACGAGUCGCUAACCCGCGAGGGCAAGCUAAUCUCUUAAAGCCGAUCUCAGUUCGGACUGUAGGCUGCAACUCGCCUACACGAAGUCGGAAUCGCUAGUAAUCGCGGAUCAGCAUGCCGCGGUGAAUACGUUCCCGGGCCUUGUACACACCGCCCGUCACACCAUGGAAGUUUGUAACGCCCAAAGUCGGUGGCCUAACCAUUUGGAGGGAGCCGCCUAAGGCGGGACAGAUGACUGGGGUGAAGUCGUAACAAGGUAACC
Molecule: ribosomal RNA, 730 nt
Filed under: uncultured bacterium
Lineage: Bacteria
Description: bacterial SSU rRNA
Rfam family: Bacterial small subunit ribosomal RNA
Source: RNAcentral